RNAcentral lists this ribosomal RNA (157 nucleotides) under uncultured bacterium. RNAcentral's name for it is "partial 16S ribosomal RNA". The record is from RNAcentral.
GCCGGUGCUUUUCUGUCGGUAACGUCAAGAUUGCAACGUAUUAGGUUACAACCCUUCCUCCCAACUUAAAGUGCUUUACAAUCCGAAGACCUUCUUCACACACGCGGCAUGGCUGGAUCAGGCUUUCGCCCAUUGUCCAAUAUUCCCCACUGCUGCU